UACAGAGGUCUCAAGCGUUGUUCGGAUUCAUUGGGCGUAAAGGGUGCGUAGGUGGCGCCGUAAGUCGGGUGUGAAAUUUCGGAGCUUAACUCCGAAACUGCAUUCGAUACUGCGGUGCUUGAGGACUGGAGAGGAGACUGGAAUUUAUGGUGUAGCAGUGAAAUGCGUAGAGAUCAUAAGGAAGACCAGUGGCGAAGGCGGGUCUCUGGGCAGUUCCUGACACUGAGGCACGAAGGCCAGGGGAGCAAACGGG
This 253-nucleotide ribosomal RNA is filed under the name uncultured bacterium. RNAcentral describes it as "partial 16S ribosomal RNA". It matches the Rfam family "Bacterial small subunit ribosomal RNA", at positions 524 to 776 of the family's 1533-position model. The record is from RNAcentral.